This 71-nucleotide transfer RNA is filed under the name Ictidomys tridecemlineatus (thirteen-lined ground squirrel). RNAcentral describes it as "Spermophilus tridecemlineatus (thirteen-lined ground squirrel) tRNA". It matches the Rfam family "tRNA". From Rfam's summary of the family: Transfer RNA (tRNA) molecules are approximately 80 nucleotides in length. Their secondary structure includes four short double-helical elements and three loops (D, anti-codon, and T loops). Further hydrogen bonds mediate the characteristic L-shaped molecular structure. tRNAs have two regions of fundamental functional importance: the anti-codon, which is responsible for specific mRNA codon recognition, and the 3' end, to which the tRNAs corresponding amino acid is attached (by aminoacyl-tRNA synthetases). tRNAs cope with the degeneracy of the genetic code in two manners: having more than one tRNA (with a specific anti-codon) for a particular amino acid; and 'wobble' base-pairing, i.e. permitting non-standard base-pairing at the 3rd anti-codon position. Lineage: Eukaryota; Metazoa; Chordata; Mammalia; Rodentia; Sciuridae. The record is from Rfam by way of RNAcentral.
UGGGUGGUGGCUCAGUGGCAGAGCACUUGCCUAGCAUGGUGAGGCACUGGGUUCAAUCCCCAGCCCCACAU